Molecule: ribosomal RNA, 497 nt
Filed under: uncultured bacterium
Lineage: Bacteria
Description: partial 16S ribosomal RNA
Rfam family: Bacterial small subunit ribosomal RNA
Source: RNAcentral
GAUGAACGCUGGCGGCGUGCCUAAUACAUGCAAGUCGAGCGAACAGACGAGGAGCUUGCUCCUCUGACGUUAGCGGCGGACGGGUGAGUAACACGUGGAUAACCUACCUAUAAGACUGGGAUAACUUCGGGAAGCCGGAGCUGAUACCGGAUAAUAUAUUGAACCGCAUGGUUCAAUAGUGAAAGACGGUUUUGCUGUCACUUAUAGAUGGAUCCGCGCCGCAUUAGCUAGUUGGUAAGGUAACGGCUUACCAAGGCAACGAUGCGUAGCCGACCUGAGAGGGUGAUCGGCCACACUGGAACUGAGACACGGUCCAGACUCCUACGGGAGGCAGCAGUAGGGAAUCUUCCGCAAUGGGCGAAAGCCUGACGGAGCAACGCCGCGUGAGUGAUGAAGGUCUUCGGAUCGUAAAACUCUGUUAUUAGGGAAGAACAAAUGUGUAAGUAACUAUGCACGUCUUGACGGUACCUAAUCAGAAAGCCACGGCUAACUACGUG